This 547-nucleotide ribosomal RNA is filed under the name uncultured bacterium. RNAcentral describes it as "bacterial SSU rRNA". It matches the Rfam family "Bacterial small subunit ribosomal RNA", at positions 355 to 896 of the family's 1533-position model. The record is from RNAcentral.
UGGGGAAUAUUGCGCAAUGGGGGGAACCCUGACGCAGCCAUGCCGCGUGAAUGAAGAAGGCCUUCGGGUUGUAAAGUUCUUUCGGUAUUGAGGAAGGUUGAUGUGUUAAUAGCACAUCAAAUUGACGUUAAAUACAGAAGAAGCACCGGCUAACUCCGUGCCAGCAGCCGCGGUAAUACGGAGGGUGCGAGCGUUAAUCGGAAUAACUGGGCGUAAAGGGCACGCAGGCGGUUAUUUAAGUGAGGUGUGAAAGCCCCGGGCUUAACCUGGGAAUUGCAUUUCAGACUGGGUAACUAGAGUACUUUAGGGAGGGGUAGAAUUCCACGUGUAGCGGUGAAAUGCGUAGAGAUGUGGAGGAAUACCGAAGGCGAAGGCAGCCCCUUGGGAAUGUACUGACGCUCAUGUGCGAAAGCGUGGGGAGCAAACAGGAUUAGAUACCCUGGUAGUCCACGCUGUAAACGCUGUCGAUUUGGGGGUUGGGGUUUAACUCUGACGCCCGUAGCUAACGUGAUAAAUCGACCGCCUGGGGAGUACGGCCGCAAGGUUA